RNAcentral lists this ribosomal RNA (446 nucleotides) under uncultured bacterium. Its description in RNAcentral is "bacterial SSU rRNA". It matches the Rfam family "Bacterial small subunit ribosomal RNA", at positions 331 to 794 of the family's 1533-position model. The record is from RNAcentral.
CCAGACUCCUACGGGAGGCAGCAGUGGGGAAUAUUGCACAAUGGGGGAAACCCUGAUGCAGCAACGCCGCGUGGGUGAAGGAGCGUUUCGGCGCGUAAAGCCCUGUCAGCGGGGAAGAAGAAAGACGGUACCCGACCAAGAAGCCCCGGCUAACUACGUGCCAGCAGCCGCGGUAAUACGUAGGUGGCGAGCGUUAUCCGGAAUGAUUGGGCGUAAAGGGUGCGCAGGCGGCAUGUCAAGUCUGAAGUGAAAGGUACGGGCUUAACCUGUACAGGCUUUGGAAACUGGCAUGCUAGAGGACAGGAGAGGGCGGUGGAACUCCAUGUGUAGCGGUAAAAUGCGUAGAUAUAUGGAAGAACACCAGUGGCGAAGGCGGCCGCCUGGACUGUUACUGACGCUCAGGCACGAAAGCGUGGGGAGCAAAUAGGAUUAGAUACCCCGGUACA